Molecule: transfer RNA, 74 nt
Filed under: marine bacterium AO1-C
Lineage: Bacteria; Pseudomonadati; Bacteroidota; Cytophagia; Cytophagales; Cytophagaceae
Rfam family: tRNA
About the family: Transfer RNA (tRNA) molecules are approximately 80 nucleotides in length.
Source: Rfam by way of RNAcentral
GGCGAGCUGGCUAAGUGGUCUAAGGCGCUUGAAUCAUAAUCAAGAUAUCGCAGGUUCGAAUCCUGCGCUCGCUA